RNAcentral lists this ribosomal RNA (403 nucleotides) under uncultured prokaryote. RNAcentral's name for it is "bacterial SSU rRNA". It matches the Rfam family "Bacterial small subunit ribosomal RNA", at positions 355 to 774 of the family's 1533-position model. The record is from RNAcentral.
UGGGGAAUCUUGCGCAAUGGACGAAAGUCUGAUCUAGCAACACCGCGUGUGCGAAGAAGGCCUUCGGGUCGUAAAGCACUUUUUGGAAGGAAUAGGAAGGAAUGUACUUCCAGAAUAAGUCUCGGCUAACUACGUGCCAGCAGCCGCGGUAACACGUAGGAGGCAAACGUUAUCCGGAUUUACUGGGCGUAAAGCGCGUGUAGGUGGUACUGUAAGUAGGGCGUGAAAGCUCCUGGCUCAACUGGGAGAGGCCGUUCUAAACUACAGAACUAGAGGAUGGUAGAGGGAGGUGGAAUUCCAGGUGUAGCGGUGGAAUGCGCAGAUAUCUGGAGGAACACCGGUGGCGAAGGCGGCCUCCUGGACCAUUCCUGACACUCAGACGCGAAAGCUAGGGUAGCAAACG